UACGUAGGGGGCUAGCGUUGUCCGGAUUUAUUGGGCGUAAAGAGCGUGUAGGCGGCCAGGUAGGUCUGCUGUGAAAACUCGAGGCUCAACCUCGAGACGUCGGCGGAAACCAUCUGGCUAGAGUCCGGAAGAGGAGAGUGGAAUUCCUGGUGUAGCGGUGAAAUGCGCAGAUAUCAGGAAGAACACCCGUGGCGAAGGCGGCUAUCUGGGACGGUACUGACGCUGAGACGCGAAAGCGUGGGGAGCGAACAGG
Molecule: ribosomal RNA, 253 nt
Filed under: uncultured bacterium
Lineage: Bacteria
Description: partial 16S ribosomal RNA
Rfam family: Bacterial small subunit ribosomal RNA
Source: RNAcentral